UACGGGGGGAGCAAGCGUUGUUCGGAUUUACUGGGCGUAAAGGGCGCGUAGGCGGUCAGCACAAGUCAGUUGUGAAAUCUCCGGGCUUAACUCGGAAAGGUCAACUGAUACUGUGCGACUAGAGUGCAGAAGGGGCAACUGGAAUUCUCGGUGUAGCGGUGAAAUGCAUAGAUAUCAGGAGGAACACCGGUGGCGAAGGCGGUGAUCUGGGCCAGUACUGACGCUGAGGAGCGAAAGCGUGGGGAGCGAACAGG
RNAcentral lists this ribosomal RNA (254 nucleotides) under uncultured bacterium. RNAcentral's name for it is "partial 16S ribosomal RNA". It matches the Rfam family "Bacterial small subunit ribosomal RNA", at positions 524 to 776 of the family's 1533-position model. The record is from RNAcentral.